Molecule: ribosomal RNA, 408 nt
Filed under: uncultured bacterium
Lineage: Bacteria
Description: partial 16S ribosomal RNA
Rfam family: Bacterial small subunit ribosomal RNA
Source: RNAcentral
GACGAACGCUGGCGGCGUGCUUAACACAUGCAAGUCGAACGAAGUGGCGAAAGGGUGAGUAACGCGUAAUCAACCUGCCCUUCAGAGGGGGACAACAGUUGGAAACGACUGCUAAUAACGUAUACUGCAGGAGGGGCUUCGGUCUGAUUAGCUAUUUGGAGGGGUAACGGCCCACCAAGGCGAUGAUCGGUAGCCGGUCUGAGAGGAUGAACGGCCACAUUGGGACUUGUACACGGCCCAGACUCCUACGGGAGGCAGCAGUGGGGAAACUUCCGCAAUGGACGAAAGUCUUACGGAGCAACGCCGCGGGAGUGAUGGCGGCUUUCGGGUUGUAAAGCUCUGGUAAUCGGGACGCAGUACCGGAAUAGAAAGCCACGGCUAACUACGUGCCAGCAGCCGCGGUAAUUC